This 538-nucleotide unclassified non-coding RNA is filed under the name Melitaea cinxia (Glanville fritillary). RNAcentral describes it as "misc RNA ENSMCXG00005005120.1". The record is from RNAcentral. Lineage: Eukaryota; Metazoa; Arthropoda; Insecta; Lepidoptera; Nymphalidae.
AUUGUUAUUGAUUUUUGUAGCUGAUAUAAAAUAUACAAGUAAUUAUCAUUAAAUAACUAAUAGUAAGUAUUAUUUAUUUAUUAUUUUUGUGUAAUUUUAACUUCCAAACGACUGCGUCAAAUUGAAUAGUUCAUUUUUUUUUCUUAUUUUAGAACAAGGUAACUAAAUAAAAAAAUUAAGCCAUUCUAGAAAAAAUGGCGGCAUAAAGUUCCCCGGGUCCGCUUAUAUAAUUACAUUUGUCACAUUUGCCAUACCUUCUGUUGCGAUUGUAAGAAGCUUCUUCCAUUAUUUUGUAUUAAGGAGAGAAAUCGUAUUAAUAUAUAGCGUAAGUGAUAUUUUUGUUAAAGUUUUACUUAUAUUCUCUCGGCCUAUUAUGUGACUAGCCUUACGUUUAGUGUGUAGUGUACCGACAUCUUUAUUGACAUAAUCUAUUCGAAGUGACAUUACAUUGUAUAAUUUAUACAUAAUUAUUAUUUUGUAGUAAAAAAAAAAUAUGGAAUAUAUCCGCCAACCCGCAUUGGAGCAGCGUGGUGGAUUA